This 349-nucleotide unclassified non-coding RNA is filed under the name Samanea saman (rain tree). RNAcentral describes it as "partial external transcribed spacer". Lineage: Eukaryota; Viridiplantae; Streptophyta; Magnoliopsida; Fabales; Fabaceae. The record is from RNAcentral.
UGGAUUGUCUCUGCCGGCUGGCUCCGUGCUCGUCCACCGAACGGUCGGCAGGCAAUCCGUGUCGGUUGCUGUGGGAUGAGAUGGUGCCUCAGAGGCUGGUUCUUGUGCUGCCUAUCCCUUCAGGGCAAGCAGGCCACUUGCAUUUAGCCUCCAUCCGGCGCCUUCUGACUGGCGCGGGAGGACAGCGAAGCACCCGCCGUGUUCCACCGAGCCUUCACCGGUCGCGUGGCCCGCGGGGAAGUGCAACGCUCUUGGACCCAGCGCACGCCGCGGACGGGGACUCGGGCCCCAGUCCUAAGAGGAGCUUCGAUAUAACGUGUGACGGCCGCUCUCGACCCUNGGCCGCCCC